CCUACGGGAGGCAGCAGUGGGGAAUAUUGGACAAUGGGCGAAAGCCUGAUCCAGCCAUGCCGCGUGUGUGAAGAAGGCCUUCGGGUUGUAAAGCACUUUCAGUGGGGACGAAAGCCUUGGGGCUAAUACCCUCGAGGAAGGACAUCACCCACAGAAGAAGCACCGGCUAACUCCGUGCCAGCAGCCGCGGUAAUACGGAGGGUGCGAGCGUUAAUCGGAAUUACUGGGCGUAAAGCGCGCGUAGGCGGUCUGAUAAGCCGGUUGUGAAAGCCCCGGGCUCAACCUGGGAACGGCAUCCGGAACUGUCAGGCUAGAGUGCAGGAGAGGAAGGUAGAAUUCCCGGUGUAGCGGUGAAAGGCGUAGAGAUCGGGAGGAAUACCAGUGGCGAAGGCGGCCUUCUGGACUGACACUGACGCUGAGGUGCGAAAGCGUGGGUAGCAAACAGGAUUAGAUACCCCAGUAUC
RNAcentral lists this ribosomal RNA (464 nucleotides) under Vreelandella stevensii. RNAcentral's name for it is "partial 16S ribosomal RNA". It matches the Rfam family "Bacterial small subunit ribosomal RNA", at positions 338 to 794 of the family's 1533-position model. Lineage: Bacteria; Pseudomonadati; Pseudomonadota; Gammaproteobacteria; Oceanospirillales; Halomonadaceae. The record is from RNAcentral.